CUGAUCAAAAUGCGAUUGAAAGGUUACAAUUUUUAUUUUGCAUAAAAGGAAACGAGGCAAAACAUUUAUUGGAACCCUCUAAAAGUAACUGCUUUUUUGGUCCUUGCCUUGGUGAUUUAUAUUUAGUGUUUUUUGUGUUAGUCGUUAGCCGUUUUGUAUUGUACUUGUGCGUGAAGUAUUUGCAAGGCACAUGGUUGUCACAAGGUGUAGACAGUGGAGCUUUACGGUCAACUUUCCGGAGUGAAAUGUAUACCCUUUCUGGUUCCGUCGCUGUGUGAUGUAGUAAAAGAUUCCCCUGGCACUGUUUUUUCUGGGUGUUGCAUCUUAGAAGCCAAUGUGUUGAUUACCAUUUCAAGAUCAGAAGAGGAAGUGGUUAGCGAUUUUUAACGCCAUCUCUGCCCGUGUCGGAUACUUCCAGAAUGGCCAUCGUUCAGAAGCCUACCGUGCCACCUGCUCAAGCUUUCAGUAAUUAUUUGUUAAUCGGAUAUCAGAGGGCCGGAUACUUAGCAGCUCACAUUUGACAAACUCCAUUUCUUACCUCUGAAGAGUACCAUAGAGAGGGAACCCCAGUUCUACUUAGAUAUUUUCCUAGUACUACUACUGCAAUUUAUCAGCUACGCUCUACUGCAGUUGAACUUAUUCAAGCAGCUGAUUAAGCUCCCGGUAAGUUUUGUGGUCAUUACCACUGAUUUAUAUAGUUGCAUUUUGUAUCGAGUCAAAGUUUGGCUUUGUAUUGAUUCACUCAUUGACGUUUUCGUUUAGAGGACUUCUACAACAUUCUGGAAGAUGUGUUGACAUACCUUCAGUAUCUGAGGUUUAGCCGAUGAGAAAUUUUGAAUGUGAUUUGAAAUUAACAAAAGUUUAACUGUAGUUUCAUGUGUGAUUUACAACAAUUGCAUCCCAAUUCAGUCAAGGUAAAGGAGCAGAUGGCUUUUGAUAGAACAUAGAGUGUUUACGGUAUACGGAGCAAACCUCAGGAUACUGAAGUAGGUAUGUCAACACAUUUUGCAGAAUGUUGUAGCAGUUCUCUAAACGAAAACGUCAAUGAGUGAAUCAAUGUAAAGUCAGACUUUGACACGAGACAUGAUGCAACUAUAUAAUUUAGUGGAAAUGACCACCAAACUUAGCGGGAGCUUAAAUCAGCUGCUUGAAUAAGUACAAUUGCAGUAGAGAGAAUAUGCUGAUGAAUUUUAGUAGUAGUACUAGGAGUAUCUCAAGUAAAACUGGAGUUCCCUCUCUAUAGUGCUCUUCAGAGGUAAGAAAUGGAGUUUGUCAAAUCUGAGCUCUAAAGUAUCCGGUCCUCUGAUAUCUGAUUAAUGAAUAAUUACUGAAAAGCUUGUGGUGAGCAGUUAUAAGGUGACAAGACUACAAGGUUUCAAGGAGAAAUAAAAAACAUCAUAAUGGAAAA
Molecule: long non-coding RNA, 1408 nt
Organism: Macrobrachium nipponense
Lineage: Eukaryota; Metazoa; Arthropoda; Malacostraca; Decapoda; Palaemonidae
Exons: 3
Source: RefSeq, a predicted model, not a curated record